Molecule: ribosomal RNA, 532 nt
Filed under: Arcyria insignis
Lineage: Eukaryota; Evosea; Eumycetozoa; Trichiida; Trichiidae
Description: partial small subunit ribosomal RNA
Rfam family: Bacterial small subunit ribosomal RNA (bases 1-273)
Source: RNAcentral
GCGUAGGGUAUGUAGGUCGUGAAAAACGGUUGAAAUGAAAGACUGGAUGGCAAUCCUUUAUGUUUCAUCUAAGAUUUCACUUGAGUUUUAGAAGGAUGAUGGUAUUUAUUAGGAAUGGUUAAAUAUGAGAUAAAUAAAGGACCGACAUUUGUGAAAGCAAUCAUCUGGUCAAAUACUGAGCUAAGGUACGAAGGCAGGGGAGCGAAACGGAUUAGACACCCGUGUAGUCCGUGCUGUAACGCUGAGUUUUCAAUGUAGGAAGGUUUUUACGCCAAAUUCUACGAAAAGGUAUAUCUCUAGGUGACAGAUAAGGAAAGGUUGAGAAAUCAAAUGAAUACUUAUAAACUUUUCUUUUAGAAAAGAUAAUAGAAUGUACUUAUUAAAGAUAUGUUCUCUGCUUUGCUUAAAAGAAGAAGGCAACAUAGCUGGGGCUCUGCUUGCCGAUGUAGGCUAUGCCGAAAUAGGUCUGAAAAACGUGAGAAAGAAAUUCUUGGUGUUUGAGUAACGCAUUAAAUUCUCCGCUGGGAAGUAC